UACGGAGGGGGCAAGCGUUGUCCGGAUUUAUUGGGCGUAAAGAGCUCGUAGGCGGUUUGUCGCGUCGUUCGUGAAAACUCCACGCUUAACGUGGAGCGUGCGGGCGAUACUGGCAGACUUGAGUUCGGUAGGGGAGACUGGAAUUCCUGGUGUAGCGGUGAAAUGCGCAGAUAUCAGGAGGAACACCGGUGGCGAAGGCGGGUCUCUGGGCCGAUACUGACGCUGAGGAGCGAAAGCGUGGGGAGCGAACAGG
This 253-nucleotide ribosomal RNA is filed under the name uncultured bacterium. Its description in RNAcentral is "partial 16S ribosomal RNA". It matches the Rfam family "Bacterial small subunit ribosomal RNA", at positions 524 to 776 of the family's 1533-position model. The record is from RNAcentral.